AUGGCGCUCCAUUGCAACUCCAACGACCCUUCAUUGCAGCUCCGGCGCAGCUUCAACGACCCCGGCGAUGCUCCGCUGCAGCAUUGGACGACCUCGGCGGACCUCAAUUGCAGCACCGGCGGCCCUCCGACGAAGUUCCAAUGCAACACUGGACGGCGCCGGCGAAGCUCCAUCGCAGCACCGGCCGUCCCACGGGGAAGCUCCAUUGUAGCGCUAGACUUCUCGGCGGAGUUCCACCGCAGCAGCGGCGUGCGGCCGCUGGAGCUGUGGUGCAGCGGUCGUCAAGCCGCCAGAGCUGUGAUGCAGCGGUCGUUGGCCGUCGCCUACCCCGUGGAGCGGCUCGUACGGCUAGCAGCAGCCAAGCCACUGCCUUGCAGUGCCCGCGGCCAGCGCCGCUCGCCCGCGAAGCCUUCUCCUGCAGCAUUGAAACGGGAAUGGAUAGUGCGGCUGGGAAUCUCCUCCGGCGUCUCCAUGCACAUAGCUACGUCUUUGUUGCUGCCUAAGUGA
RNAcentral lists this ribosomal RNA (507 nucleotides) under Triticum aestivum (bread wheat). RNAcentral's name for it is "partial small subunit ribosomal RNA". Lineage: Eukaryota; Viridiplantae; Streptophyta; Magnoliopsida; Poales; Poaceae. The record is from RNAcentral.